Sphaerodactylus townsendi is the source of this 187-nucleotide long non-coding RNA. RefSeq lists it as uncharacterized. The record is from RefSeq and is a predicted model, not a curated record. The transcript has 3 exons. NCBI's taxonomy places the organism in Eukaryota, Metazoa, Chordata, Lepidosauria, Squamata, Sphaerodactylidae.
ACAAGCCAGCUGGAUCAGACCAGAGUCCAUCUAGUCCAGCUCUCUGCUACUCGCAAUGGCCCACCAGGUGCCUUUGGGAGCUCACAUGCAGGAUGUGAAAGCAAUGGCCUUCUGCGGCUGCUUCUCCUGAGUACCUGGACUGCUGGGACAUUUGCCAUCUCAGAUCAAGGAGGAUCAAGAUUGGGAG